AAGUCUGGGGCCAUUCCGAGUCCGGCGGACGAACUUCGCCCACGCCCCCCACCAAGGCUAUAGCCCACCCGUUUUUUGGCCAUUUUUCCGCUGGGGGGUUUUGGCACCACGACCUUCGCGCGCUUAUUUCUGGGCGCGGCUUUGCCCGCGGCUUAUUUUUGGCACCCCGAGGCCCCUCGCAAAGUCUCGCCCCAUUCCGAGUCCGGCGGACGAACUUCGCCCGCGCCCCCCACCAAGGCUAUAGCCCACCCGUUUUUUGGCCAUUUUUCCGCUGGGGGGUUUUGGCACCACGACCUUCGCGCGCUUAUUUCUGGGCGCGGCUUUGCCCGCGGCUUAUUUUUGGCACCCCGAGGCCCCUCGCAAAGUCUCGCCGCAUUCCGAGUCCGGCGGACGAACGUCGCCCGCGCCCCCCACCAAGUCUAUAGCCCACCCGUUUUUUGGCCAUUUUUCCGCUCGGGGGUUUUGGCACCACGACCUUCGGGCGCUUAUUUUUGGGCGCGGCUUUGCCCGCGGCUUAUUUUUGGCACCCCGAGGCCCCUCGCAAAGUCUCGCCCCAUUCCGAGUCCGGCGGACGAACUUCGCCCGCGCCCCCCACCAAGGCUAUAGCCCACCCGUUUUUUGGCCAUUUUUCCGCUGGGGGGUCUUGGCGCCCCGACCUUCGGGGGCUGAUUUUUGGGCGCGGGUGUGCCCGUGGCCUAUUUUUGGCACACGGAGGCCGCCCGCAAAGUCUGGGGCCAUUCCGAGUCCGGCGGACGAACUUCGCCCACGCCCCCCACCAAGGCUAUAGCCCACCCGUUUUUUGGCCAUUUUUCCGCUGGGGGGUCUUGGCGCCCCGACCUUCGGGGGCUGAAUUUUGGGCGCGGGUGUGCCCGUGGCCUAUUUUUGGCACACGGAGGCCGCCCGCAAAGUCUGGGGCCAUUCCGAGUCCGGCGGACGAACUUCGCCCACGCCCCCCACCAAGGCUAUAGCCCACCCGUUUUUUGGCCAUUUUUCCGCUGGGGGGUCUUGGCGCCCCGACCUUCGGGGGCUGAAUUUUGGGCGCGGGUGUGCCCGUGGCCUAUUUUUGGCACACGGAGGCCGCCCGCAAAGUCUGGGGCCAUUCCGAGUCCGGCGGACGAACUUCGCCCACGCCCCCCACCAAGGCUAUAGCCCACCCGUUUUUUGGCCAUUUUUCCGCUGGGGGGUCUUGGCGCCCCGACCUUCGGGGGCUGAAUUUUGGGCGCGGGUGUGCCCGUGGCCUAUUUUUGGCACACGGAGGCCGCCCGCAAAGUCUGGGGCCAUUCCGAGUCCGGCGGACGAACUUCGCCCACGCCCCCCACCAAGGCUAUAGCCCACCCGUUUUUUGGCCAUUUUUCCGCUGGGGGGUCUUGGCGCCCCGACCUUCGGGGGCUGAUUUUUGGGCGCGGGUGUGCCCGUGGCCUAUUUUUGGCACACGGAGGCCGCCCGCAAAGUCUGGGGCCAUUCCGAGUCCGGCGGACGAACUUCGCCCACGCCCCCCACCAAGGCUAUAGCCCACCCGUUUUUUGGCCAUUUUUCCGCUGGGGGGUCUUGGCGCCCCGACCUUCGGGGACUGAUUUUUGGGCGCGGCUGUGCCCGUGGCCUAUUUUUGGCACACGGAGGCCGCCCGCAAAGUCUGGGGCCAUUCCGAGUCCGGCGGACGAACUUCGCCCACGCCCCCCACCAAGGCU
RNAcentral lists this long non-coding RNA (1688 nucleotides) under Citrus x clementina. RNAcentral describes it as "Citrus clementina (C. clementina) long non-coding RNA (CCLE_LNC004797)". The record is from RNAcentral. Lineage: Eukaryota; Viridiplantae; Streptophyta; Magnoliopsida; Sapindales; Rutaceae.